This 470-nucleotide ribosomal RNA is filed under the name uncultured bacterium. Its description in RNAcentral is "bacterial SSU rRNA". It matches the Rfam family "Bacterial small subunit ribosomal RNA", at positions 328 to 793 of the family's 1533-position model. The record is from RNAcentral.
UGACAGUACUCCUACGGGGAGGCAGCAGUGAGGAAUAUUGGUCAAUGGGCGCAAGCCUGAACCAGCCAUGUCGCGUGCAGGAAGACUGCCCUAUGGGUUGUAAACUGCUUUUAUAUGGGAAGAAUGUGAGCUACGAGUAGCUUUUUGCCGGUACCAUAUGAAUAAGCAUCGGCUAACUCCGUGCCAGCAGCCGCGGUAAUACGGAGGAUGCAAGCGUUAUCCGGAUUCAUUGGGUUUAAAGGGUGCGUAGGCGGAAUAGUAAGUCAGGGGUGAAAGUUUGCGGCUCAACCGUAAAAUUAGCCUUUGAUACUGUUAUUCUUGAGUACAUUUGAGGUAGGCGGAAUGUGUUGUGUAGCGGUGAAAUGCUUAGAUAUAACACAGAACACCGAUUGCGAAGGCAGCUUACUAAACUGUAACUGACGCUGAUGCACGAAAGCGUGGGGAUCGAACAGGAUUAGAUACCCUGGUAG